This 254-nucleotide ribosomal RNA is filed under the name uncultured bacterium. Its description in RNAcentral is "partial 16S ribosomal RNA". It matches the Rfam family "Bacterial small subunit ribosomal RNA", at positions 524 to 776 of the family's 1533-position model. The record is from RNAcentral.
UACGUAGGGUGCGAGCGUUGUCCGGAAUUAUUGGGCGUAAAGAGCUCGUAGGCGGUCUGUCGCGUCUGCUGUGAAAUCCCGAGGCUCAACCUCGGGCCUGCAGUGGGUACGGGCAGACUAGAGUGCGGUAGGGGAGAUUGGAAUUCCUGGUGUAGCGGUGGAAUGCGCAGAUAUCAGGAGGAACACCGAUGGCGAAGGCAGAUCUCUGGGCCGUAACUGACGCUGAGGAGCGAAAGCGUGGGGGAGCGAACAGG